AGAGUUUGAUCCUGGCUCAGAAUCAACGCUGGCGGCGUGCCUAACACAUGCAAGUCGAACGCGAAAGUGGAGCAAUCCAUGAGUAGAGUGGCAAACGGGUGAGUAACACGUGGGUGACCUGCCUUCGAGCGGGGGAUAACGUCCCGAGAGGGACGCUAAUACCGCAUAACAUCCUGCUUUUGAAGAAGCGGCGAUCAAAGCUGGCGCAAGCUAGCACUCGAAGAGGGGCCCGCGUCCGAUUAGCUAGUUGGUGAGGUAACGGCUCACCAAGGCAACGAUCGGUAGCCGGCCUGAGAGGGCGGACGGCCACACUGGGACUGAGACACGGCCCAGACUCCUACGGGAGGCAGCAGUGGGGAAUUGUUCGCAAUGGGCGCAAGCCUGACGACGCAACGCCGCGUGGAGGAUGAAGAUCUUCGGGUCGUAAACUCCUUUCGAUCGAGACGAACGGCCUCCGGGUGAACAAUCCGGAGGAGUGACGGUACCGAGAGAAGAAGCCCCGGCUAACUCCGUGCCAGCAGCCGCGGUAAUACGGGGGGGGCAAGCGUUGUUCGGAAUUACUGGGCGUAAAGGGCUCGUAGGCGGCCAACUAAGUCAGACGUG
RNAcentral lists this ribosomal RNA (603 nucleotides) under uncultured bacterium. RNAcentral describes it as "bacterial SSU rRNA". It matches the Rfam family "Bacterial small subunit ribosomal RNA", at positions 8 to 596 of the family's 1533-position model. The record is from RNAcentral.